GCUAUAGCUCAGUUGGUUAGAGCAUCGGUUUGUGGUGCCGAGGGUCGUGGGUUCAAAUCCCAUUAGC
RNAcentral lists this transfer RNA (67 nucleotides) under marine eukaryotic metagenome. It matches the Rfam family "tRNA". From Rfam's summary of the family: Transfer RNA (tRNA) molecules are approximately 80 nucleotides in length. Their secondary structure includes four short double-helical elements and three loops (D, anti-codon, and T loops). The record is from RNAcentral.